GCCGCUCUGGUCCAACUGGGAGAGACGCCGCGUUCAGAGCGCGGAGGUUCCGGGUUCGAAUCCCGGGAGCGGUAC
RNAcentral lists this transfer RNA (75 nucleotides) under Paraplanobispora siamensis. Its description in RNAcentral is "Planobispora siamensis tRNA-Leu". It matches the Rfam family "tRNA". From Rfam's summary of the family: Transfer RNA (tRNA) molecules are approximately 80 nucleotides in length. Their secondary structure includes four short double-helical elements and three loops (D, anti-codon, and T loops). Further hydrogen bonds mediate the characteristic L-shaped molecular structure. tRNAs have two regions of fundamental functional importance: the anti-codon, which is responsible for specific mRNA codon recognition, and the 3' end, to which the tRNAs corresponding amino acid is attached (by aminoacyl-tRNA synthetases). tRNAs cope with the degeneracy of the genetic code in two manners: having more than one tRNA (with a specific anti-codon) for a particular amino acid; and 'wobble' base-pairing, i.e. permitting non-standard base-pairing at the 3rd anti-codon position. The record is from RNAcentral. Lineage: Bacteria; Bacillati; Actinomycetota; Actinomycetes; Streptosporangiales; Streptosporangiaceae.